GUAGGUGGCAAGCGUUGUCCGGAAUUAUUGGGCGUAAAGCGCGCGCAGGCGGUUCUUUAAGUCUGAUGUGAAAGCCCACGGCUCAACCGUGUAGGGUCAUUGGAAACUGGAGAACUUGAGUACAGAAGAGGAAAGCGGAAUUCCACGUGUAGCGGUGAAAUGCGUAGAGAUGUGGAGGAACACCAGUGGCGAAGGCGGCUUUCUGGUCUGUAACUGACGCUGAGGCGCGAAAGCGUGGGGAGCAAACAGGGGUUAGAUACCCUGGUAGUCCACGCCGUAAACGAUGAGUGCUAAGUGUUAGGGGGUUUCCCGCCCCUUAGUGCUGCAGCUAACGCAUUAAGCACUCCGCCUGGGGAGUACGGCCGCAAGGCUG
RNAcentral lists this ribosomal RNA (373 nucleotides) under uncultured organism. RNAcentral's name for it is "partial 16S ribosomal RNA". It matches the Rfam family "Bacterial small subunit ribosomal RNA", at positions 527 to 896 of the family's 1533-position model. The record is from RNAcentral.